Molecule: non-coding RNA, 3229 nt
Organism: Aegilops tauschii subsp. strangulata
Lineage: Eukaryota; Viridiplantae; Streptophyta; Magnoliopsida; Poales; Poaceae
Source: RefSeq, a predicted model, not a curated record
GCAUCCAUCCACAUCGUGUCCAUCUUGCAGUUCCAGGCUGAGCUGAUUUCUUGAGUGCUCUGCCCUCCCUGGAACUUCUCAAACAUGUGUUCCAGGCCAGGCAUGUGGCCUGGAGCAAGACCCUAGGGCAUCGUGUCCUAUUUUUUCAUUGAUCCAUGCGAAUAAGUCCCACAUGAACACGCCCCCAGGGAAGGCACACCGUAAAUCUAGCCAGCCAACCACAAGAUCACUGGACGACAUCAAUACAUGGAUAGAUGAACAAGAAACAAGUACUCACUCCGUACUAGUACUAGAUGAUCUCACUGAAGAAAGAAACUUGUUUUUCUCUUCAGAUAGAGAAAUAAAAUACUACUACUAACAAGAAGCUUUAGUGCACGAGCAAGAAAAAAGUGAGGGAGCCUUUUUUUCUUGUCCUCGCUAGCUAGUGAUAUAUGUAUAUAAUAUAGAAACCCAUGCAUCAUGCACUCAAAGGCACACAUGUAUACCCAUCCUGCCUGCUGAAGAAACAAACUCUUCAUGUGUAGUGAUUUUUUUCUUCUUUCUUUCUUUCCUUCACAUUCCAGUAGUGAUUUUUUUGUCCCUGCCUGCACAAUUUGUGUCUUGAUCACGCCAUGUUUCACAAGGGAGGGGCAAGCGCAUAGAUACACAGAUAGAUUUAUCCAUGCGGUGAAUUCUUACAGCACUAAAUUCUUACAGCCAUACUGUAGUAGUACUGUUUUUUGUUCACGCGAGCUGUUGGAUUUGUAGCAGUAGCAGUGAUGAUUCAGAGUUUGAGACAAUGCCUCCACGCACUAGGAUGAGGUGAGGGUCCAAUGCCUGCACGCAUGAGUGACAUUGACGCGGCCUGCCUAGAUUAGGCAACCAGAUUGAUUAUGAUAGUACUGUAAGUAUUACUGACACAAACCUGCAUCUACCCAAGAUUCAGACAGAUUUCAUUUCUUUUUUUGUAGCAGCAUGCAGCGUGUCCUGAACCACCUGCACAAUUUUCAUUUCUUCAGUGUGUCCACCCGCAUCUGCGCAAGUUUCAGACAAAUUUCUUGAGUGCCCUACGUGUUGUGUUGCCUGAAUUCGUUUCCGUUCCAUUGCAUUCCACCACCACUCGAGAAUAAAAGCUUUAUAUUCAUGAUCCUGCUCCACCACUUGAAAUAAAAGCCUCUGUUCGAUCAAAAAAAUAAAAGCCUGUGCAGUGUUAGAUCAAAAAAAUAAAAGCCUGUGCCAUAUACAAGAAUGGCCGACAUAGAGAGAGAGAAUUCAUUUCCUCUCCGCAGAAUUACAUAUGACAUACAGAGUGACAUUGGUCCUUGUUAAUCACCACUAUAGUAGUAGUAAUUAUUGCACACAGAGUGGUCCUUUUUUAUCUUCAAAUGGCAGUAUGUGUAGGAUUCAAUAGGGGCUGCUAGUGGUUUAGUAUUAAUAUAUGUACAUCAAUGUUCAGAAUCGGCUAAGCAAGUGCAUAGUCUGCACCGUGAUUGGCAAUCGUGCAUGAUGCUACAAGCUUUUAGAAUAACAGCGGUUCAUGGAGUAAUAUGCUUUGGACUGCUGUUGUGCCUCCUGGGAUUCAGCUUUUUUGUGGCCUCGUAACUUGCUUCCUGGACUAGCAAUUCAGGACUACUAGCGUUUUGCUUGCGGUGUUCUCGGUUCAGGACUGUGAUUUCCAAUUGUGCACGACGCCACAAGCUUUUAGAACCAUAGUGAGUCACGCGGAAUCUUAUCUGGGCUGCUGGUGUCUCCUGGGAUUCAGACUUAGAAUGACUCAGAAAAGCAUAUCGGCAGCUGGUCAUCUAUUCUUUGUCCUCCUGAUAUAUGUUUGGAUGUUAGAUGGUUCAUGCAUAUUUCUGUCUACUUCUUCUAGAAUUAUUGUGUUACCUAGAUUCCAAAACCACUUCAACAUAGAUGGCAUUGUGAACAUGAAACUGAAUACAGAACUUACCCUCUCUGUUUUCAUUUCGUUUUGGAAAAUCACAGGUCUCUAGAAGUAGUCUGCAGGGGACCUCUAGUACUAGUGUUUUUUCUUUGCAGAUGAGCAUGUUGUUUGUUCAUCUGUGAUUCGUCCUUGAACUCCUAAAACUUCUGAUGAGAAGAAUGUUAGUAGAUGCACAUUUUAUCUGCUUCUGCUAGUUUUCAUGUGUCCGGUCUUGCCUUUUCGGAGCCUCUACAAGAGGUUUUGUUUGUAGAAAAGUAUAGUUGACUGUCCAUCUACUCCCUCCGUUCCAAAAUAGAUGACCCAGCUUUGUACUAACUUUGUAUUAAAGUUAGUAUAAAGUUGAGUCAUCUAUUUUGGAACGGAGGGAGUAUUUGUUUGUAGGAAAGUAUAUCUGACGGUCAGUUAAGCAUAGAUGCACAUUUUUCCUAUUGUUUUAGUGAUAACAUAAUAAAUAGAUGGAUUGGUUCUACAAGAGAUUUUAUCUGUAGAAAAAAGCAUAUAGGCUGCCUGUUCAUUUAUUGUUUGAACUGAAACAUCCUGAUGUCCUGAUAAGUUUGGAUGUUAGAUGGAUACAUGCUUCUAUCUGCUUCUUCUAGAAUUACUGUGUUACCAAGAUUCCAAACUUCUUAGUGUAGCAUUGUAGCUUUAUUUUUACAUGGUCAAACUACCUUCUGUAUGCAGUAUGCAACAACACUAUGUUGUAUAUCUUCAGUAGUAAAUGUAUCAUCUUAAGAGUGUACUGAAGCUAGAUUAUUUUGUAGCUCAUUUUUUAUGCUCUCUCCAUGGUUAAUAUAAAUUAUGCAAAACAAUGUUUACUAUGAGUGUAACUCUAGUGCUAUUCUUAUUAUUCAAUGUACAUCGAUGGUGCUGCUGGACAUGUGCUAGUCAGAGGGGAGAAAGCUAAGAACCUUGGCCUUUAAGUUCUUGCAAGGAUUAGAGGGUAUGUUGGUGCUGCUCAGGGGUGAUCGACGUGGACUACCGCGACCUGGUGGGCAUCGUGUUCUUCAACCACUCGGAGGCGGACUUCAGCGUGAAGCCCGACGAUCGCGCCGCACAGAUGAUCGUCCAGGUCAUUGCGACGCCGGAGGUCGCCGAGGUGGAGGACCUCGACGCCACCGUCCGCCGCGAGGGACUGCUCGGAUCCACCGACGUUUCAACUCAGAAACUUUGUAGAUACAUCUAGGGAAGUGGUCUAGUCGUUUAUUUGCACUGGACGUGUCUUGAUUUCCAUCCAUGAUCUCGAGUUGAGAUGUUCAAUGUUGUAUCCAUGAAUGUUGCAGGUGCUAAGAUGGUUCUGUGAACUUA